GACGAACGCUGGCGGCGUGCCUAAUACAUGCAAGUUGAGCGCUGAAGGUUGGUACUUGUACCAACUGGAUGAGCAGCGAACGGGUGAGUAACGCGUGGGGAAUCUGCCUUUGAGCGGGGGACAACAUUUGGAAACGAAUGCUAAUACCGCAUAAAAACUUUAAACACAAGUUUUAAGUUUGAAAGAUGCAAUUGCAUCACUCAAAGAUGAUCCCGCGUUGUAUUAGCUAGUUGGUGAGGUAAAGGCUCACCAAGGCGAUGAUACAUAGCCGACCUGAGAGGGUGAUCGGCCACAUUGGGACUGGGACACGGCCCAAACUCCUACGGGGGGCAGCAGUAGGGAAUCUUCGGCAAUAGACGAAAGUCUGACCGAGCAACGCCGCGUGAGUGAAGAAGGUUUUCGGAUCGUAAAACUCUGUUGGUAGAGAAGAACGUUGGUGAGAGUGGAAAGCUCAUCAAGUGACGGUAACUACCCAGAAAGGGACGGCUAACUACGUG
RNAcentral lists this ribosomal RNA (497 nucleotides) under uncultured bacterium. RNAcentral's name for it is "partial 16S ribosomal RNA". It matches the Rfam family "Bacterial small subunit ribosomal RNA", at positions 28 to 507 of the family's 1533-position model. The record is from RNAcentral.